Long non-coding RNA from Nilaparvata lugens (brown planthopper), 1861 nucleotides. RefSeq lists it as uncharacterized. Lineage: Eukaryota; Metazoa; Arthropoda; Insecta; Hemiptera; Delphacidae. The transcript has 3 exons. The record is from RefSeq and is a predicted model, not a curated record.
GGCUACUUUUAAAUAAAAAGUACGAUGCUACUUGAAAAUGGCAUUAGUAGCCAAAACAAUCAUGUCGUGACGAAAUAAUUUAAAAAGGAUAAUCUGAUUUAUAUUUUUUUAUUUAUAUGGUAUUUAGAGUUCAGCUCUUGAAGUGGCCACCCUUACAAUGGGAGUAGCAGACGCAUGGAGCUUAACUUAUCUUGUCGAUAGCUUGCUUAUCAGUGCAACCACGAAACCAAAUCGCUUCUCAAGACCCUGCUAAUAAAUAAAUCUAGAAUUAAUCUGAUAUGAGCAGUUAGAUAUGACUACAACGGUCAGUCAACCAUUUUCUGGAAACUUAAUAUUUUAUUGGAAAUUCUCUGAAUUUGCGUUUGUGAUUCACGACAUUUUUUACUGACGUCUGAAAAACACUAUUUGUGUCCGAAAACGUGCAUCCAGCUACUAUUGAUCUGUUGUACUCUAUUUUUAGCACUUGAAUUAAGUCUUGGAUUAUUAAAGUAGCAAAUUCUCAUUUUAUAUGAGUCUUGACCUCCAACUAUCAUAAUCUGUAUAAUUCAGGAUGUUUCAACAAGAAUUUACCAGUUAGGAUGAUUUAUAAAUAUUUAUUCAGAAGAGCUAUAGAUCUGGUAAAGAUAUACAUCUGAUAAAAGGUAAAGAAAAGGUGAAGAUCUUUAUGUAGCUCUGUUGUAAAAGAAAACUCCUCAGGUUUUGUCUUGAAAAUGGCUGCCUUCGCUGGACCCGAAAAGAAAGUGUCAUUUUUCUUCUCCAAAAAAAGAAAUGUCAGUGCUAAUUUAUCUGUAUGUUUUGCAUGAGCUUUCGAAACUACAGUUUGAUAAGGUUGUCCAACAAAAAAAUAAUGCUCACUUCAUGCAAGAUUUUUUUCAAAUUAAAAAAUUUAUUGAAAAUAAAUUCAGAUUCAACUAGUACACUAUCUACACUGGUGUAGAUUCUAAAUAGAACCCAGACCAGAAUCAUUUCUUAAUUCAAAUUAAGGAAAUUAUUUUUUCUCAAUAUCAAAGAUACUGAAUAGAAAUAUUUCCAGUAAUUUUUAAUGAAUAAUUUUUUUUCAAAUUCAAAAAUUUAUUGAAAAUAAAUUCAAAUUCAUAAUUAUCUACACUGGUGUAGAUUAUGAAUAGAAAUAUUCUCAGAAUCACUCCUUAUUUCAAAUCAAGGAAAUUAUUUUUUCUCAAUAGGAUACUGAAUAGAAAUAUUUCCAGAAAUGUUUAAUGAAUAGAUAUUUUCCUUGUCAUGAAAUUCUAGUUUUGUAAAUUAUAGCUCAGCUGAAUGUUUGGCUGUAACUGUAACUACAUUCAUGUUAUAGAUUCUGAAGAGAAAUAUAAUUAUUCAGAAUUAUUUGUUAUUUGGCUUAGUGGUUUUGUGUUUUGUUUCGGUUUUGUAUAAUGAUUGGACUUUUUAACAUCAAAAUGAACUUUAUUCCGAAGUGUAAAGUGUAAAUUUAAAGUAUUGUGCUCACUGUAACCUUAGUGUCCGGUUUCCCAUUUGGGAACUUAGAUUAUUCCAAUAGAUCCGAAAGUUUCUUUUUUUCCUCCUUCUUGUAUAAUAAUAUGAGAAAUUGAUCCAAAUCCUGGAAGAAUAAGGAUGUAAACUUCUGGGUGACCGAAGAAUCAGAAUAAAUGUUGGUAGAGGAUUGGGUCUCCACCCCCGGUGGGGUCGAUAGAUCCCAAUAGAUGAUCUAUUUAUUCCAAUAGAUCCGAAAGUUUCUUUUUUUCCUCUUUCUUGUAUAAUAAUAUGAGAAAUUAAUCCAAAUCCUGGAAGAAUAAGGAUGUAAACUUCUGGGUGACCGAAGAAUCAGAAUAAAUGUUGGUAGAGGAUUGGGUCUCCACCCCCGGUGGGAUCAAAAAAUAUUUCA